RNAcentral lists this transfer-messenger RNA (404 nucleotides) under bovine gut metagenome. It matches the Rfam family "transfer-messenger RNA". From Rfam's summary of the family: Bacterial tmRNA, also known as 10Sa RNA or SsrA, is named for its dual tRNA and mRNA-like properties. The record is from RNAcentral.
GGGGCUGACUUGGCUUUGACAGCGUGUAGAGGUGGUAAGCAAGCAUGCAGAGCAACGAUGGCCGAGGCUCUUUAAUAUCAGUCAUCACUAAAUUUAACUGGCGAAAACACUUACGCUCUCGCUGCUUGAUCGAAGUAUAGUAGAUCGGCUUUAUCCCUGCCCAAGGAUGGUAGGGACGAGACAUCACCCGGUGGCCCUCUCGCCGAGGCUUAUCGACAAGGUGGUGCUAGCAUAUCGGUGAUAGGACGACGCCUGCCUCGAGCAACGUCCAAAACCUUAGAGGUUAAGCCUGGCGGUUGGUGGUCAUGAGCCUGCCCCAGGACGAAAAUCAAGUCACGACUAAGCAUGUAGAAAACUUAUUAGUUCCACGUUUGGACGAGGGUUCAAACCCCUCCAGCUCCACA